GAGCGUUGACCCGAGUUAGCUCUCUCUGUUUUCUUCUCCGCCUACCUCCACUCUCUCCGGCACGGCGUCGCCGAUUCCGGCCACCUUUGGUCAAGAAAUUACCACCAAUCUUUUCCUCUCCUUCUCCUCUUCAAAACCCGGUCCAUGGAUCACACUUUCAUCUCGAUUCGGUGGUGAUCGAUCGAAGGAAAGCUCGACUGUGUUCUUUAAUUUCCGGCGAGCUCCGGCAGGGACGACGGCUAUGAAGGGUAUAUUCUUGUUCUCCUCACUUCCCUCUUCCUUGUUAUGUCUUUGUUUUCUUGAUUCGUGGCCAAAUCGGAGGAAGCCCUAAUUCUGUUUUUUGGGAUUUCCGGUGAGCCAUCGCCAUUAACGCCGUCAAGGCUGCUCGGUGCUCCUCUUCUUCUUUCCGACAUCGUAUCUAUCUCUGGAGACCGAGAUUAGCUAGUAUGGAAGCAAGGAGGGUUGCUGCUGCUGUGUAGGUGGAGGCCCGAAUCCAAAAAAAAUCCGGCAGAGACGCUACUGCCGACGAAGGAGGUGUGAUUUCUUGUUGGAAGGUGGUGCUGCAAGUGAUAAUCCGGCGAUGAAGACUUUCCAACAGUGGCUAAGGUGAGGGGAUUUGCUGAUGUAGCUACUGUGUUGAUGUUGUUGUGUUUGGAUUGUUAGCUGAUGUGGUUAUUUGGUUUACGUUCAUGUCGAGAACUUGGUGUUCUAGAGAUUGCGGGGAGAUCAUGGCGAAAUUCCGGCAAGUGGCCAGAAUCCGGCAGAAUAUUCCGGCAAGUCGCCGGAAUCCGACGAAGCAGCAGAUCCGGCAGAGAACCGAGAAGGUAGUUCUCGAGGUUUUUCUUCCUAGUUCAAGUCGUAGUUUCCGGUUUAGUAAAAUCUGUCAUUUUAGGAAAGUUUCUAUUUAAGGGGAUUUUCCCUUUUUGGAAACUUUUCUAUUUAUGGAAAACCCAUUUUGGGUGCCCUUAGUGAAUUAUGGUGUGAAGUUGUAUAGAGAGAAAGUGAUUGAGGAUUGUUUGGAUGAAGCAUCAAUUGUAAUUGAAUUAUUAAGAUGGUUGUUGGAAUUAAAUUGGAUGGUUAGAGUAAUCAAGGUAACCCGAUUUGUUAAGUCGAAGGUUAAAGUGGAAAUUGUCAAGGCAUCGUUAGUUGGCUAAUCAUAAAUCAAUUGGUCAAACUUGGUCAAUUCUGGUCAACUCAGUAAACCUAGUCAAACUAGGAAGAAGUCGAAUCGUUAAUGAUUAUUGGAGUCCGGUCUGACCAAUUUAUUCUUCUGUUUAUUAUCAGACGUGGGUUUUGGCUAUAGAGUGUGAAUAUUUGGAGGCAGCGUUCGAGGAGUAUUCCGAGCAUUGGAAGGCUAGGCUUAGGCGUCAUACAGUGAGUGGACCUUUGUUUUAAAUAAAAUGCAUGCUAUAGUUCAUAGAUGAACAAUUAAUGUUGUGGAGCAUUUUGACGUCAUUUUAUUUUGACGAUUUUAUUUCUCUUGGAGAGUCACCGAAAAUGGGAUUUUCGGUGGAUAUAAAUAUGUAUUUAUGAGAGAGUAUGUAUAUAAAUGCUAGCUAGCCCUAUGUGUCUGUCCACCUUAAUGGCGUAGCAUAUAGCCGCAUUAUGGUGUGACGUGAGCGUUGGACGCGAGCGUAGUAGCCCUAUAUGAGUGUCUAAUUCAUAUAGGGGGUAUGGACACAUAUUUAUACACCCGUCUGUCUACCUUAAUGGCGUAGUGUAGCACCGCAUUAAGGCGUGACGUGAGCUUUGGACGCGAGCGUAGUAGCCCUAUAUAGACCCAUGAAUUUAUAUAGGGAGUAUGGACGUGUGUAAAUACAUACAUAUAUUAGAGCCUGAGAGGCUCGAUAUUUUAUGAGAUAAAAGUUUUUAUCGCUUGCGGCAUGCAUUCGAUUUUCCUUGGAAAUUGAUUUGGGGAAACAUAAAUAUUUUAUUCGUUAAUUUAUUUUUGUCCACUCACUCUAACGUUUCGUUUUCAAAUGUUUUCCCCUGGGCUCUUCGUUUUAAAAAUGCCCAGUUUUUAGGAUUGCAUAGUUGAGGUCGGGCGUACAUGGAGAAGAG
This 2061-nucleotide long non-coding RNA is filed under the name Fragaria vesca (wild strawberry). RNAcentral's name for it is "long non-coding RNA (FVES_LNC005543)". Lineage: Eukaryota; Viridiplantae; Streptophyta; Magnoliopsida; Rosales; Rosaceae. The record is from RNAcentral.